AUACGGAGGAUGCGAGCGUUAUCCGAAUUUAUUGGGUUUAAAGGGUGCGUAGGCGGAAAGGUAAGUCAGCGGUGAAACUCAGGUGCUCAACACCUGCCGUGCCGUUGAUACUGUUUUUCUGGAAUGCGGAUGCUGUGGGAGGAAUGUGUGGUGUAGCGGUGAAAUGCAUAGAUAUCACACAGAACACCGAUUGCGAAGGCAUCUCACAAAUCCGUGAUUGACGCUGAGGCACGAAAGUGUGGGGAUCGAACAGGAUUAGAUACCCUGGUAGUCCACACUGUAAACGAUGAUAACUCGCUGUUGGCGAUAUACAGUCAGUGGCCAAGCGAAAGCGAUAAGUUAUCCACCUGGGGAGUACGUCGGCAACGAUGAAACUCAAAUGAAUCGGCGGGG
This 393-nucleotide ribosomal RNA is filed under the name uncultured bacterium. RNAcentral describes it as "partial 16S ribosomal RNA". It matches the Rfam family "Bacterial small subunit ribosomal RNA", at positions 523 to 918 of the family's 1533-position model. The record is from RNAcentral.